Molecule: small nuclear RNA, 106 nt
Organism: Suricata suricatta (meerkat)
Lineage: Eukaryota; Metazoa; Chordata; Mammalia; Carnivora; Herpestidae
Source: Ensembl
GUGCUCGCUUCGGCAGCACAUACACUAAAAUGGGAACGAAGCGGAGGAUUAGCGUGGCCCCUGCGCCAAGGAUGACACGCACAUUCGUGAAGCGUUGCACAUUUUG